Molecule: long non-coding RNA, 678 nt
Filed under: Homo sapiens (human)
Lineage: Eukaryota; Metazoa; Chordata; Mammalia; Primates; Hominidae
Description: long independently transcribed non-coding RNA 1807 (LINC01807)
Source: RNAcentral
UUUCCCUUGGUUUAUGAUAUUCAAUUUGGCUCCUGCUGUAAUGUACACUGAAACCUCAGGCUGCUGAGCUAUCUUGAUGGUUUUAAGAAGACAAUCUGGUGCCUUUACCUGCUAGAGAAGUCACCUAGAAUCCUGUUGUUUAAGCAGAAGAUUGUGUUUCCCCACCACCCCCACACCAAACCCAGGGAAAAGAUAAGCUAACAGGCAGAUCUUCCUGUCACCAAACACACAGAUCUACCUUCAACUUCAUCCUCCCAAUCCAAUGAAGACUUCAUCUAAUGUCUCUUCGGUAUGAGUGCACACUUCCUCCCUGGAGCCUUCAUAUAGAACUACUUAACAAUAUACAUACUGAUCCAUUGUGGAAUUAUUAAGGAAAAUACAUUGAAAUAGGUGGCAUUCUUGUCAAAGAUAUAUAUGGACGGCUAGAUGGAUAGAUAGGUGAAAAUCAUGUUCCAUGGAAGAAGAGUUAGCUCAGCCUGCAACUCAAACAAGUACAGAUAUUCUUCCAUGGAAUGACCAUCAUACUUGGAUUGUAAUAAAAAUGCUUUAGGCAAACUUCUCAUUUCAUCCUUGGCAUAUUAAAAAUAUGUAUGUAUGUUUAAGGCUUGAAACUUAACACUGUAUUUUAAUGUUUCAGUAAGGUAAUUCUUCUUAAAUAAAAUUGGCAUUUUUAAAAAA